AAUACCCUAAGGCCGGCCAUUUAGAGAUGGAGUGAGUUUUGGACUUAUUUACAAGUUUGCCACUCCAAUGAAAUAAGGUAUAAAUAUGACUUUAUAGCCAAAAUUCAUUUAGGGUUUUCUUUUGGGGAAAUGAUGAGAACAUAAUCUCUCCUUUCUCUCUAAAGUGGCCAGCCUCCUUGGAGGGUUUAGCUAGCAAUCCUACUACUCCAAGGUCACUCAUUUC
RNAcentral lists this long non-coding RNA (223 nucleotides) under Malus domestica (apple). RNAcentral's name for it is "long non-coding RNA (MDOM_LNC021091)". Lineage: Eukaryota; Viridiplantae; Streptophyta; Magnoliopsida; Rosales; Rosaceae. The record is from RNAcentral.